Zonotrichia albicollis (white-throated sparrow) is the source of this 5848-nucleotide non-coding RNA. The record is from RefSeq and is a predicted model, not a curated record. NCBI's taxonomy places the organism in Eukaryota, Metazoa, Chordata, Aves, Passeriformes, Passerellidae.
CACUGUGUUCUGGAUUACCUGUCAUUGAGAGCAAGCACCUAUCACUUCAGCAUUACAACAAAGGAGAAAUGGAAGGCUGCCUUCUCUGCUCCCAGUCAGCCAACUCUGUGCAUUUUCUGGAAUUCAGAUGGGCCAUCUGCUACCCACACAUUCAAGAAGAAAGCCACACAAAAAAGGCAGCAAGGAUGAUGUUUUCCCAUGCAAGCUGAAGUGACUCUCACUUUUGAGCUCUUAGAAGAAUAAACAACCUUCUGCAGAUGCAGAAGAAAGGCAGAGAAAUAUUAGAUGACUUACCCACAGUCUGCAGCAGGUUUGAACCCCUCUGGUGAGCAGCAUCACAAAUGUGAUACAGACCUUCAGUAAUUACUGAAGCAGCAGUUUGUCACAAGCUGCCUGCAGCACUGAUGGACAAUCUGCUGGUGCUCAUGGAAAUUGAGACCAGCCCCAGCCGUGUCUGUUGCCAGCAGGACAGUGCAGUGUCCCCACUCUGCUGAGGUACCAGUGUGUGGUGAGGCACACAGAUGGCAUCCUGGGAUGCUAAUGUGCAUGUCAUGUUGUGCUAGUAUGCCACAAAGAUUUUGGAGGGUAGAAUAGGGAGAAUUUGUUAUUUUCUUUAGAAACAGCUUUUCUCCUCCAUCGUCCCUUGAGAUCUGCUCCUCACAACAAGCUUGGGGUGCACUGUGCACUUCUCUCCCUUACACACAAAGGCUCUGCCCCUUUUCAGAAAGGCUUCCAGAAGGACACUGACAGUACUGAACCCCACUCAGUCUGCUUGCUUUUAGCAGCCCUACUCGCCUGCCCUGCAAGAACAGAGAGGAAAUUUUCCCUGCUCUCUGGAGUAAGGUCCUCCAUCACCAUGUCACAAAAGAAAACAGGCUGCUUGGUAGCUAAGGAAAACUGCUGACUUUAAACCUGAAAUAAGGCUCUAUCAUUUACACUAAUGAGCUCACUGGUGGGGACUUUGUAAAAUUUUAUGAUAAAAAGUAGCUGUAGUCAGUGUUUGAUAGAAUUUACUAUUUUACUUUUUUUGCUGAAGAUAGACAUAACUACUAAUCAUUUUCCCAUUCAAACCUAAAGAGAAAUAAGUGCAGGAAGAACUGUCCCAGUAGAAAUUCAAAGAUCUUGUAAGUAAUCCAUUAUUAUUAAUUUUUUUUAACCAUGGGUUGGUCUAAAUUCUUCUGAGAAAUGCUAUAGACAUUUUUAACUGGUUGAAUAGCAAAUAAGUUACUUAGAAGAAGCCCUUAAUUAAAUACUAAUAUUUCAGGAUUUUAAUUGUUUGUGGCUUAUGGUUCCAAGUUAACCUCCUAUAUCUGCUAGUCCUGUCAGGUUUGAUUUCUGAUGGAAGAGUGCCCUGGGAUGCACCCUGGGGUAGCCCUGUGAUAGUUUCUGAGCCAGGAUUCCACAUAUGCCCAAUAUGUGCAGUGAAUAAGGGGAGGUAUCUAACAGGCUUUGUUACUGUAGACUGUCAGAGCAGUAAACGACAAGGGCUAAGGAAAUCUCUCAGCUACUGUAGCUGGCAAAGACCUAAACCGUUCAAUUCUGAGCCAGAAUAAAUGAGUCUGGCUGGAGAGAGCAACUGUGCUAUAAAACUAGCAAAAAUGGAAGAAAACAAAGGGGUGAAAGCAAGCAAAGAGGAAUAAAGAUGUCUCCAGCUAAAGGACUGGAAAACUAACCCAGGUUGGCAUCCAUGUGAGCGAUGAAUGAAGUUACAGCAGAUUUUUUUCUCCCUCUCUGUCUUUAGGAUUUUUUUAUCUUCCUACUCUAUUUGAGGUGUUUAGCCUCCACACAGUCACUGGUUCAACACUUGAAAAAGAAGUCCAUGACAAGGAAAACAAACUGAGCUCCUGACCUUGGCAUCAUCACUCACUUUGGAAAUUUUUGUACCUGAAAGAAAAUCUGCUGAUAUUCCACGUGAGUAAUAAAUUAUCCCACAUCAUCAGUCAAUACAGCAACAGAGAUCUGUUGCUGUGCAUGCCAUAGGUAAAUGCAGCCGUAAAACAGACAUCUCAAGGUAAGACUGAAAUCCAAUGUUAAAAAAAAAUAUCUUGAUAGUGCUAUUCUAGACAUGGACAUUUACAAUUGUAUAAACCAGAAUGUUUAAUAUUUGUCUCAGGGAUGGGGUUUUCAAAUGUCCUUAGCAGUGAGUUAAUAUUCCUUCCCACUUCCAAAGUUGCCCUAUGUAAUACAUAUGUGAAAUCAGAAAUCAAACACUGUAUUGCAGGCGGGCAGUAAAAUUCAGCAGAUGAAAUUUAUUAUUAAUUUAUCUUAAUGAGCUGUGUUGUUCUUCAAAAUAUACAAGCCCAGUAUAAGGCCUGUGUAGCCCAAGGAUCCUUCAAGGUAGAUAAUUUGACACUAAUUUACUGCUGCAAUCCCCACUUGCUUAAGACUGUAUAACUCUUUCCCCUUUGACCUUCUGUUUGUAACUACCUGUAUCCAUCAAAAAUUCCCACUCCUGAGACUCAGGUUUGCCAAAGAUGUGAACUGCAAGAGUUGAAUUUUUAUUUCAACAUUUUAUCAAUUUUCGUAACAUUACAAAACACAUGAAGGCACAGGAAAAACACUAAGCUUAUAUUAUUUGAUAUUCUCUAGCAGAAGCGAUAUCUAAAAGUGAAAAUCAAAACUAUUUUUCUAUAGAAAAAAAAAGUGCAUCAUUAAUGUUGGGAAACAACCUGGUUUCAUUUGAUGAAAUAAAAUUACAGAAGUUUGAGACAGAAAUAUACACAAAUGAUUACCUGGCUGUUGUCAGCCACACACCUCAGAAAGCACAGGCACUCUCUGGUGUCCAUCCCUGGCCUGGUGCUGCUCUGCCCUGGCCCCAAACCUGUCUGUGCCAUUUGAUGUUUUUUCUCUGCUGAGUACAACCUGCACAGGCAGGCAAGAGGCACAGCAAAUCCUGGGCCUUUUUUAUUCUACAGUGUGGAGCAUUACAGAUAAUUCUGCUGGCUGGCACCCUCGCAGUGCAUCUGCUCCUGCUGUGCACUCUCUCAGUGAACUCAGCCUGCUCCUGAGAUGCCUCACUUGCUGUGGAAGCUGAAGGUGACACCAUGGGCAAAUCACCAUAAAUACAUGCAAACCUCUCUUACAACAGCAAAUCAGAUUGUUCUAGACAGAGCACAGUAUGGAUCAGCAAGAGCUGGUUCACUCUAAAUCUCAUUUUCACACAUCUUCAGACUUUGUACAGAAUCCCAGCAGAUGUUUGGGAAGACAAGUAUCUUAAGUUUAUGUGGGCAUAUAUAAACUCUUGAAUUGCUUUUUGCUGCUUAUAGUUCAUAAACUAAUACAGCAGUGAACAAACUGCAUUUUCAGAAUUGUGAACAAACUGCAUUUCAUAUAAGUUAUCCAGUUAUGGACCAGACCUUGCAUUUCUUAUUCAAGAAGGAUUAAAUCAAAAGGGAAGUAGUCUGUGAAGAGGUGAAUUUAUACACAGCAAGCUAAACUCUUGCUAAAUUAUUCUCUUGCAGGAAAUAGAAAGGUUUCCAGUAGAUUUCUCUAUACAUGUUUUCAGAGAAGCUUAUGCUUGUUCCCCUUAGAGACUUUCUUCAUGAGUGAAGCUGAAGUUAGAUGUGUAGUGAGACUGAGUUUUAAGGAUGGUUUUCCUAAAAUAGGAUUAAGGCUCACUGACACUGUAAUGGAGGCCAGGUAGUGCUGCUGCUUAUUGGCUAAACUAUGUUUUGGUUUCCACAUAUAAAAGUUCAGCAUCUAGGAGCUUUAAACUUGCUUCUUCAGAGGUAAAAAAAAUUGUUAUUUUAGUGUCUCCAUAGUUUUGUUUCUGGUACAAAAUAAGCAACCCUGUCAUGAUCUGAGCAGGAUAGUAACCAGUCCUGAAGUGGUGCUUCAGGGACUUAAGUAGGAUCAUUCCAUUUUUUUUUUCUGUCCAGAUUAUUUCCAAAUUGUUUGUUUGGGUUUUUUGGUGUUUUUGUUUUGUUUGGGGUUUUUUUUUGUUUCUUUAACCUGGGGUGAAACAUUAGGGGAGUUCUAUAAACUCAUAGUCUGCAGUCAAUUUGUCAAUAUUGAGGUCAGGGUGAGUUACCACAUAAUGGACAGUUCACAUAUUUUUACCACAUCCACAACAGUUUUUUCUUAAAAGCAAACACCAAAGAGCUCUGCUUGACCAAUAUAUCCAUUUCAGACCAACAUCUACAACAUCUAUUACCAUUUGUUAAUACUUUGACACCAUUUCCAGUGUAUCUCAAUGACCAUUGCCCUCUUGGAUCUCAAUGACAUUGACUAACACUGCAGUUUGUAAUUAGAUGGGGUAACAAUUCCUGGCCCUCUGUAAGCAUCUGGAUUUCAGAUUUCCACUCCUGGAUGGGGAGCUCUUAGCCACACAUCACCAAUUAUGCCAUGUGCUUAUGUAUCAGUCCCUACACCCUCCUGCUGAGCCCCUCUUCUUUGUGCUCAGUACGAGUCAGAGACUGUCACCACAGAGAGAAUCAACACAACUGCCUAGUCAGCUGCAUGUGACAUUUAAUGAAAAUGAAGUCGGGUCUAAUUUGCAUGGCAGGUGUUACUUUAUUACAGCAGAGCUGCAGAAGCUGGGUGCUACAGUGCUAGUCAGGUGUGCAGAAAUGAAAGUCACUGACAAUGAGGGUGUCUGGCACAGGAAUCCUGGCACCCCCUUGUCUGCCUGCCCACCUCCUGUGUGAGAUAAAGUGACACAUUUGUUCAUUUUUCCAGGUGCCCUGUUCUGGCUCUUUCUGCUAACUCCAUCCACAGAGUCAUUGGAGUACUCAAGGAGCCUGGGGGUAGGAGGCCCACCCAGCCUCCUGCCACGGGGUCACCACACCAAACAAUUCCAGCUCUGGCACUCUCCUGCCCUCAAACCCACAAACUGCACCUAAAGAGCUCUAUAGCACAAGAGAAUUGAUUUCUGUCAUGCACAAGAAGUGUAUUACAAGAGAAAUACAUGAAUAUUUUUUUAUGAGUCAUGUGUGUUGAAAGAACAUGUAUGUUUCUUUGAGUCAAGUGCUCAAAAAAAUUAAAAAGGCAGCAUCAUGCUCCUUCUGUUUCCAUUUCCCUGAGUAAUUUUGCCAAAAUGACAAGAAUGCAAAAUGCUCAUUUUCACUAGUUUUUAUUUGGUUUAGCCUUAUUACUACUCCUUAGAAAUAUAAAUUUUAUUUUAAAGUUUCUGAUUCUGAUUUCAGACUGAGUUAAGACUGUCGUAAAUCUUAAGCUCCUGUCUUGAAGUAAAACGUAACACACCUUCUAACAGGCUGUGGCUCCACCCACUCACUUUCUGCUUCUCAGGAGAAUAUUUGUUUCUAUUUUUUUAUCUCCCCAACUUCCUUCUGACCACUGUUCUUCCCCUAGAAUCAUCUUGCCACUACAUUGGUUUCCAGCCUGCCUCGCUGCUGAACAUCUAAAGCGCGGGGUGUUUGGACCCUCCCUGGGAGGCUCCUGAUGCCAUUGGCUCCCGCUACAUCCCGUCCCCUCAGAGCCAGCCAGUACCAACCCACGGGCACACUGAGACUUCACAGACUGUCUGAACAACUUUACAGACACACAUUGAACUUUGCAGGGCAGCUAUAUGGACAAAGUUUUAUUUAUGGCACUUUUCAGAGAGAGAGACCCCAAGUAAAAAAUCUUACGAAUCACACAAUUGGAACAGCACAAUAAAAUAAAGUAAAGCAUUUACCAAAAUUUAUAAUGAUUUGCACUGGAGCCAAGUUUUGGAUGACAUUCAGUUUCCCACAGAAGAUGCUAAAACUCCACAAAAGUUUUUAUCUCUGAAGUUUAACUUUGUAAACAGAUCUGCCAGUUAGAAAAUAACUCUGUUCCAGUCGUUUGUUUCUAAUCUCUUCAUUUACAAUCCCGGGUGAUGAUUUUUUGACAGCACAUCCAGAACGAA